This 73-nucleotide transfer RNA is filed under the name Acinetobacter baumannii BJAB07104. RNAcentral's name for it is "tRNA-Ala". The record is from RNAcentral. Lineage: Bacteria; Pseudomonadati; Pseudomonadota; Gammaproteobacteria; Moraxellales; Moraxellaceae.
UAAAUCAUAAAGCAUGACGAGACUCACAGGUCCUCCCCAACUAAAACCAAUUUUGAAUAGCUUAAGAGCAUCA